GUGUCAGCCGCCGCGGUAAUACGUAGGCAGCGAGCGUUGUUCGGAAUUACUGGGCGUAAAGAGUGUGUAGGUGGUGCUCUAAGUUUGGUGUGAAAUCUCCCGGCUCAACCGGGAGGGUGCAUCGAAAACUGGAGUGCUAGAGGAUGGGAGAGGCAAGCGGAAUUCCUGGUGUAGCGGUGAAAUGCGUAGAUAUCAGGAGGAACACCUGUGGUGUAGACAGCUUGCUGGACCAUUUCUGACACUGAGACACGAAAGCGUGGGUAGCAAACAGGAUUAGAAACCCCAGUAGUCC
Molecule: ribosomal RNA, 292 nt
Filed under: uncultured bacterium
Lineage: Bacteria
Description: partial 16S ribosomal RNA
Rfam family: Bacterial small subunit ribosomal RNA
Source: RNAcentral